UCUGAAUCUGCGNACGGCUCCGCAAACCAGUUGUAAGCUAUAGCAAGCAUGCCUGGGUUCCCUUCACGGGGAGCUUGGGCGAUACGGAUAACCCUGGUAAUUCUGAGGCUAAUACGAGAUCGUACAACCUGGCUGACCGGGCAACUGGAAGGCUGGGAGGUGUGUGAUUUAGCACGAGGAAUCUGCUGGGAAUAGACACAUGCCUGGACCGCGCCAAAAACAGAUGGGGUUUCCCGCAAGGGUGGCCCUGCCUGAGCGGCUCUUGCUUUGUGCUUCUGACCUAUCAACUAGACGGCAGCGUAAUGGACAUGCUAUGGUACAACGGGUACAGAGG
Molecule: ribosomal RNA, 334 nt
Filed under: uncultured myxomycete
Lineage: Eukaryota; Evosea; Eumycetozoa
Description: bacterial SSU rRNA
Rfam family: Eukaryotic small subunit ribosomal RNA
Source: RNAcentral